This 76-nucleotide transfer RNA is filed under the name Armatimonadetes bacterium 55-13. Its description in RNAcentral is "tRNA-Phe". It matches the Rfam family "tRNA". Rfam says of the family: Transfer RNA (tRNA) molecules are approximately 80 nucleotides in length. Their secondary structure includes four short double-helical elements and three loops (D, anti-codon, and T loops). Further hydrogen bonds mediate the characteristic L-shaped molecular structure. tRNAs have two regions of fundamental functional importance: the anti-codon, which is responsible for specific mRNA codon recognition, and the 3' end, to which the tRNAs corresponding amino acid is attached (by aminoacyl-tRNA synthetases). tRNAs cope with the degeneracy of the genetic code in two manners: having more than one tRNA (with a specific anti-codon) for a particular amino acid; and 'wobble' base-pairing, i.e. permitting non-standard base-pairing at the 3rd anti-codon position. Lineage: Bacteria; Bacillati; Armatimonadota. The record is from RNAcentral. RNAcentral also lists the same sequence under 3 other names.
GCCGCGGUAGCUCAGUCGGUAGAGCAUAGCACUGAAAAUGCUAGGGUCGCCGGUUCAAAUCCGGCCUGCGGCACCA